Molecule: non-coding RNA, 1584 nt
Organism: Monodelphis domestica (gray short-tailed opossum)
Lineage: Eukaryota; Metazoa; Chordata; Mammalia; Didelphimorphia; Didelphidae
Source: RefSeq, a predicted model, not a curated record
CCUCGCUGUUCUAGUGCGGCCUUCAGGUCGGUCACCCGCAGCGCCUGAAGCGGCUUCCCGUCCAGAGUCACCUCCUCCAGCUCCGCCAUCUUGUGUGAGGUACUCGGCUCCCGUCUCGACGGCUUCGGGCAUCUUCGGCUCCGCCCCUCGCUCUUCCCUUUCCGAACUCGGACAUCUCAGUCCUACAGAGCUUAGCUCUAGAUUCCGUACGUAAACACUCUCCCCAGGCACAACCGGAUUCGGAGACGCUCGGCUUUCUCCGGCCCUGCGGCAGAUAGGGUCCGGCGUUCCGGUGCCGAGGCACCCAGCGGGGUUCGGCCUUGUACGGGGUCCGGAAGUGCGUGGGCUUUCCUGUGGGGUUUGCUGGGAACACGGAGGUGACCGAUGUAGUCUGAGCCCCCGGACUCCUGUGACUUCCUUCUAGGGUUUCCCGGGGUGAGAAUAAAGAGGAUGUCACUGAAGUCAGCUGCCUCUUGGAUAUCACCAUCUUCUACUUUUGCUAUUGCUCCAGAUAAUUAUUCCUACCUCUCCAUGUCUUACUUCACUUCGCAGGAGAUGAAGUGUGUUCUGCACUGGUUUGCUAGCUGGUCAGAUCCCCAGCGAGAGCGUUUCCUUCAGGACUUGGUAGCCAAAGCAGUGCCAGGCAAAUUACAGUCCCUUUUAGAGGGACUAGAACAGCUUAGUGUGUCUGGAGUGGAUCGACCACCCCACAUCUUUGAUUGCCAGCUUCGGCUCUGGGAUCAGUGGUUCCGAAGUUGGGCUGAAGAGGAGCGCAACGAAUUUGUCAGACAACUGGAGGCCAGUGAGCCAGACUUUGUAGCAAAGUUCUAUCAAGCAGUUGCUGCUACAGCUGGUAAGGACUGAUAGGAGUCAGCAUCAUAAAAGACAAUAUGGAUCUAAUGGAAUUGGGUUGAUAGCUCUGGUGUAGGGAUUCUCAGAUGAAAACCCUGGCUUGACUGGGUUAUUGUCAUUGAACUUCUAUUCUGUAGAUCACUUCAGAUUUUAAAAAUAGCUAAUUCAAAUCACUGGCUAUUAUUCUGCUUCCUCACAUAGUACUAACUAUGUGAGUACUAAACUUCCCAAGAUUCUGUCAUCUUGACUUCCUUUGCAAACUGUCUCCAAAAAGAAACUGAACAUCAGAAACCAAACUCACUGGAGGGGUUAAGGGGUAGGGGAAGUAAGAGUAACAUUCUUUCUAGAUACCAGGUGGGUAUCAGAUCAAAGAGUUUAGCUAAAUCUGGACCAGUUCCCUCCCUGAACCUUUUCUGGUUUGGUUUGUAAACUAAGUGUUAGGGUAUCAGUGGAUCAGUCAAAUGGAAGGAUGGAGUGGAGAUGAUUACAUGCCAAGCCUAAUGGCCCUGGUUCUUAUCAAAGAUUCACAGUAUUUUUGGAGCCAGUAGCAAGAGUUCUUAACUCUGCUAAGAUUAUGAAAACCUUCCUCUAGGAUGGAAGGUUUAUUUUUGUAAUUCAGUUUAAAAAAUAUUAGGUGCUGGGAAUACAAAGACAAAAAAAAAAUUAUCCUUGCCCUCAAGGAGCAUACAGGUACUUGUAUCAGAAUAAAAAGAUGAUCUUGUUUAGUGUGAA